AUGAACCGACCAAAAAGGAACUCAGCAGGCAGGAGGUCCCCCGAGCUCCAACACCUGUUGGAGUUCCGUCGUCAAUGUUGGAUGUCGUCCCCCACCGACAGGAAGGGGGUCACCCUCCCAUACUCGCCUGAGGGGGAAUGGAUCCUCCAAAAUUAUGCCCGGCUGUGGGAGAGCAUCUCCCAGGAGGAGCCACAGAGGUCCCCUCCACCUACCCAGCUGCCAACGAUCCCAGAGGGUCGUGUCCUGGCCGUGGCAACCCUGGGGAAUCAGGCAAGUCCCUCCCAAAAUCCUGAGGCACCUCCCACUACCUUCAGUCUCCCCAACAAGCGAGGGAGACGGUUGUCGUGGGAGUCAGCUUCAGAGUCUUCGGCGUCCGAGUCUGCCCUGCCCGAGACCAAACUCCCCCAACCCGCCUCUGACCCAGCUGUGGCCUCUGCACCGCGCCCAAGGAGGAAGAGGAAGAAGAAGGGGCCUGCCGGUCCUGUGACCCUGCCUCCUCCUGUGCCAGCAGCGGAGAGCGCUGGCGUGCCCGAGCCAGCAGCGGUGAGCGUGCCCGUGCCAGCAGCGGUGAGCGUGCCCGAGCCAGCAGCGGAGAGCGUGCCCGAGCGAGCAGCGGAGAGCGCUGGCGUGCCUGAGCCAGCAGCGGAUAGCGCUGGCGUGCCCGAGCCAGUAGCGGAGAGCGCUGGCGUGCCCGAGCCAGUAGCGGAGAGCGCUGGCGUGCCCGAGCCAGUAGCGGAGAGCGCUGGCGUGCCCGAGCCAGUGAAUAAGAGAACAGGUUUCAAGUCUGCUGUCGUGAGGGCGGAGGAGAGAGCCGCGGCCGACACUGCAGCAGAAACUUUGAUACAGUCUGUCUCGUCUCGUAAGGAGAUGCCGGUUAUUAUUGCCGCCAAAGCCUUGUCUGAUUAUUUGUCCCGUCUUGUCCAGAUCCUGGAAAUCCCCGCCAGUCCUGUCUUGUCCCCUGACCCUGUCCCCAGAGAUCCCGAGCCAACCACAGUUAGUGCUACUCCUGACCCAGUUUCUGUCUCCCCUGAUCUUGCCCCGUGUCCUGUGAACGUUGCCCCGUGUCCCGUGAGUGUUGCCCCGUGUCCUGUUGUCUCCCCGUGUCCAGCUGUCGUCUCCCCGCGUCCCGUAAGUGUUGCCCCGCGUCCCGUGUCUGCUCCUGUCAUGUCCUCUGUCAGUUGUCCCGAGACCCCUCCCCACCCCUCACCACCCAGACCUGCCCGUACCCCCCGUCGUCAGCCUUCGUCCUGUCCUCCUAAGAUCCCUACCCCUCCCACCCACCCUGGUCUGUCCCCCAUGAACUUUGUGCUCCCGCCUCCUCCCCUUCCCUGUUUGUUUUUCUUGAUAUGCCACCCUAACCCUAUUGUUGUGUUUUCAUGUCUGCCCUUAUUACUAUUUGUCAUGUCGUGUUGGUUUUUGUCUCUGUCCCAGUCAGUCAUGUCCCGCGUUUGAUGUUCCCUUUAGGGAGCGUCUGGAAAGCCGCUCCUUAAGGGAGGGGGUUCUGUCAUGGUCCUGCCAUCAUGUCCUGACUUUUCUCUAGUCUAGAGGCAGGAUCAUGACAGACCCGUGUUUUGUGUACAAGCACAUGGCCUUGUCUUUGGGCCAUGUGCUUGUGUUGUCUCGUUCCCUUGCCCCGCCCCCCUUGUUAUCCUAGUCUUGUCGUGAUUGUCCUAUCUGUGCCACCUGUCGUGUCUUGAUUAGUUCCCCUAUUUAGAUCUCCUAGUGUGCUCUGUCUUUUGUCGGUUCAUUGUGAUUGUUCAACUUAUGUGUUCCCACCAGUCAGCCUCCAGAGAUGUCUUGUCCUUGAAACCCCUCAAAGAAGUCUUUUGUCUAGCAAUGAGUGUUUGUUAGUAGUUAGUGUUCAGAGUCUUUGUUUACCUUGUUUAUUGUGUUUUGUAGAAUUAUUUAGUGUCUACCCUAGCCCUUGUUUUCCCCCCCGUGGGUUUUUGUUUUCCCUUUUUGUUAAAUAAAUCCUGUGUUUAGUUACUUCCUGUCUGCACCUGAGUUCCUCCCUUACCAACCCAUGACACGAUCAAGAAUAAAAGAAAAAUUCACAAGACAUUCACAAGACAUAAAAACCCAGAUCAUUUUCCUUUAUUAACAGUCACCCUGGAGAUUCUGUCUGAAAAGAUAUGUACAUAACACAAACUUAAAAAUUAAAGUAGUCUUAAGAUCUCUUUUAAGAGCCAAACUUUAGCCCUUUUGGUGAGUUGGAGCAUGCAAGGCAUCGAUUCCUCAUUUAAAUUCCUCUGGCCAAAAUGAUUCAGAUAAAUGAAGAAAGAUCAAUAUCAUUGAUUUCUUAUCCUUUUUUUUUAGAUCAGUUCUCUGACAAGACAAUGAAUGGUGAAAGAAGUGAGUGGGUGUGUGUUCAAAGAUGUAACUAUGUGCUAUCAAGGACUCAAACUGAGGAGUGUCAAUAAAUUUGAUCCAGAGAGAGCUCUAUCCAUCAGUCCUUGUGAAUACAGCGCAGCUGGACAGGCCACCACUGGCUGACUCCAUCUUUGAUCCGCAUUCCCACUGAGACACUAGUCCCAGACACUAACUCUGGAGUUGUGACGAAGCCCCUGGUGGGACCAUCCACAGGGGUCUCUCUGUCUACAGGGUAUUUAAAGCAACAUUGUCUGCCCUGCUGAUGGAAAAAUGCAGACACAAACACAUAUUCAGAGCCUGAUUUCCCAUGUAUUGUGGGUAGGAACAUCAAAAUUACACUGAUUUAAAAUAAAUAAAAAUAAAAUAAAAUAAAUAACUAAAUAACUUCAAAAUUAGGAGUUUACUGAGGGAAAACUGUUAAUAGUGAACAUGUGUUCACUAACCUAAAGUGUUACCAUAUAAUUUUACCAAAUUAUUUAGUGAAUCAUUUAUUUUGUCUGUAAAAUGCUUUUUAUAAAGCUUCUAAAACACUAUCAAGGUACCAAUGUGAGUUACUGAGUUACUAUGGUGACUUUAUUUAGUAUUUCAAUAUAAUGCAUGGUUUAAACUUCAGGAACAAUAGUCUAACUCUCAUUGUUUUGAUGCGCUGAUGCAACAUGAGCAAAGCAAGUUAAAGACAUACAAGCACUACCGUAGUCUGUCUAAUAAUGAUGGAAGUGUUUGUGUUUCCACACAUGCACAGUUCUCCUCCUCUGAUCUUUCCAGAUGCAGAGUUUCUGUUUGCUUGUAAAGAGGUAAGUCAGUUAGCAAAGAGUACAUUACUGUCACAGAGACAUGCAUGUUAUUUCUUGACCUUGUACAUACUGUUUUUUUGUUCUUGCAUUAAACUGAUUUGAAUGUUUCUACUUAUUACACAGACUAUUAUACACCAUUAUAUACCAUCAUAACAUGGUAUAACAUGGUCAUGGAUGAUGACAUCACUGAAUCAACAAUGAACUGACUGAUAAACUGUUUUCUAUUGUCCUCUUGCAUUAUCAGCACACAUUUUACAUUAUCAACACUGUAAAGCUGUAAAGUUAUAGUGAAAUAUUUUCUUUUCGGUCCCACUUUAUAUUGUGUCCCUAAUACAUGUGUACUUACAUAGUAACUAGAUGUGUACACAGUAUGUAACCAAAAUAAAUAAUAAAAAAAAUAAAACAAAAAUAAAGCUACUUGUGAUAAACUGUACCCCCGUUUUUUUUUUUUUAUUAUUAUUAUUAUUAUUAUUAUUAUUAUUAUUAUUAUUAUUAUUAUUAUUAUUAUUAUUAUUAUUAUUUGUUCAUAAAACCUAAAAGCCCCUAAAUUGUCCUUGUCAAACACUGCAGUAACCAGGAGAGGUGACCUCCAAAAGCAUGUACCCAAGGGCCUCACAGGACCAUGAAAAGUCCCUGGCUCAGAUGUGGAAAUGUUUGUGUGUUCCAUGUGUGGAGAUGACAAACAGCUGGACAAGCGAUUCAGGCAUGUUUUUGCCAUGUCUCUUCUCCUAAGAAUGGCAUCAUUAUAUAUCAAGAGCUCUUUACACCUCUUUCUACCUCACUGUGGCCCCGUUCCUAUAGCCACAUUGUCUUUCUCUAGUUUAUGACCUCAUCUCCAGCGAUCACCACAUUCAACGACUUAUCUGCGCUCCCAUCAUUACCGCCCAUGUCGGCAUCCUGCCUUUGUCGUAUACUUUAUGUAUCGAUUUAUUUACCUAUUAUUCUGUGACUCCAACUGCAAUGCUCCUGGAAGCUCCUUGGCUUCACCCAUGCAAAGUGUGCCAAAUAGAUCUCCCAUGAGGUGUCAGCAAGAUGUACUUCUUGUAAAGUCAGGCACUUUUUUUUUUUUUACACCUUAACCUCAACCAUCAUUGGAAGGGAAGACUCUCUUAUUUGCACCAUAAAACAUACUGCAUACCGAACGCCUUUAAAAGCAUCUACCGAUCCCGAAGGGAGGAGGAGAGCAAGUCCUGAAAAUGCAAGGUUUUGUACGUUAAGAAUAGAGUUGGCUAGUGAAAGCGAACAUUUUUUGAUAUUGAAAUGGAUUAAGUCCUCCUCCUCAUUUUUUUCUCCUGCUUUUCUCUGCAUUAAAUGCUAGCAG
This is a long non-coding RNA of Cyprinus carpio carpio, 4485 nucleotides long. Lineage: Eukaryota; Metazoa; Chordata; Actinopteri; Cypriniformes; Cyprinidae. The record is from Ensembl.